Molecule: ribosomal RNA, 388 nt
Filed under: Vanrija sp.
Lineage: Eukaryota; Fungi; Basidiomycota; Tremellomycetes; Trichosporonales; Trichosporonaceae
Description: partial small subunit ribosomal RNA
Rfam family: Eukaryotic small subunit ribosomal RNA
Source: RNAcentral
AUUCCAGCUCCAGUAGCGUAUAUUAAAGUUGUUGCAGUUAAAAAGCUCGUAGUCGAACUUCGGGCCUGGCGGGACGGUCUGCCUUACGGUAUGUACUGUCUGGCCGGGUCUUACCUCUUGGUGAGGCCGUAUGCCCUUCAUUGGGUGUGCGGUGGAACCAGGAAUUUUACCUUGAGAAAAUUAGAGUGUUCAAAGCAGGCAAUUGCCCGAAUACAUUAGCAUGGAAUAAUAGAAUAGGACGUGCGGUUCUAUUUUGUUGGUUUCUAGGAUCGCCGUAAUGAUUAAUAGGAACGGUCGGGGGCAUUAGUAUUCCGUUGCUAGAGGUGAAAUUCUUAGAUUUACGGAAGACUAACAACUGCGAAAGCAUUUGCCAAGGACGUUUUCAUCA